CCUACGGGAGGCAGCAGUGGGGGAAUAUUGCACAAUGGGCGAAAGCNUGAUGCAGCGACGCCGCGUGAGGGAUGACGNCNUUCGGGUUGUAAACCUCCUUCAGUAGGGAAGAAGCGAAAGUGACGGUACCUGCAGAAGAAGCACCGGCUAACUACGUGCCAGCAGCCGCGGUAAUACGUAGGGUGCGAGCGUUAUCCGGAAUUAUUGGGCGUAAAGAGCUCGUAGGCGGUUUGUCACGUCUGUCGUGAAAGUCCGGGGCUUAACCCCGGAUCUGCGGUGGGUACGGGCAGACUAGAGUGCAGUAGGGGAGACUGGAAUUCCUGGUGUAGCGGUGGAAUGCGCAGAUAUCAGGAGGAACACCGAUGGCGAAGGCAGGUCUCUGGGCUGUAACUGACGCUGAGGAGCGAAAGCAUGGGGAGCGAACAGGAUUAGAUACCCUGGUAGUCCAUGCCGUAAACGUUGGGCACUAGGUGUGGGGACCAUUCCACGGUUUCCGCGCCGCAGCUAACGCAUUAAGUGCCCCGCCUGGGGAGUACGGCCGCAAGGCUAAAACUCAAAUGAAUUGACGGGG
Molecule: ribosomal RNA, 571 nt
Filed under: uncultured Micrococcus sp.
Lineage: Bacteria; Bacillati; Actinomycetota; Actinomycetes; Micrococcales; Micrococcaceae
Description: bacterial SSU rRNA
Rfam family: Bacterial small subunit ribosomal RNA
Source: RNAcentral